UUGUGAUGCAAUUAUGAUUCUUUUAGAUCAGGGAGGAAACCAAAGUACCAGAAGGUCACAAGACUGAUGCGAAAAAAGUGUAUUAUGUAUGCCCAUUUAGAAACUAAGAACUUAUUAUGCAGCAUGUUACAUUUUGAAAAGAACUAUUAACUUGCCAUGUAUCCUUAUACAGGUGUAUUAGCAAACUCAAAAACCAAUGAGGAAACUGAGACAAGGCAAACUAUUAUCAAUAAAUAAUCCAAAAUCAGCUACGUUGUCCAUGGCAAUGAACACGAGCAAGAGUCCCGAAUAAGAAAUAAAACACAGGAAGCGUCCCUGAAUAUCAAGGCUACAACAACCAGAAGGGACAUCACCAUGUAAAUUGUGCAAAGGAACUUGAGUCCUGCCACGGUAACGGGCUGAACAUGUCAAACUGAUGCUACAGAGUAGUGCAGUAGAUACACCAGAUACUUCGACAACCCACUGUCAGCACACACUAUCUGAAACAAAAAUCAAAUGGAGCAUACCAAACAUGUGGUUGGUUAAUCUUGUAAUCAAUCUCUCAAACUUUGACUCAUCAAGCAAAAGUUGUUAUCUUGUUCCCUAAUACCUAAAAUAGUUUGGUAAGCAUUUGCAGAUACUAAUAGCUUAAUGAACCAAAGAAAGUUCUGUGACGUCAAGAUACAAAGAUCUGGAUGGGGUGGGUUAGGCGAAACUUAUAGAAUCAAGAAUGUGCUCCAUUUAUCUCUAGAUAUCAUUUAUUAAAAGGAGGAAAAUUAUAUGUGACCUCGGAAAUACUUACACUAGAUCUCUAAAGUUCACUCAGUAUGCACUACAUAGAUUCAUUGUGUCUGCAUGCGUGUUCACAGCCAAAACUUAACUCAAAGAAUAAAGAGGGCCAAAUGGAAAAUUGGCCAUGGUACCACAUGUUUGGCGUCAUAUACUAGUCGCCUCUCCACUAAGCACCUUGCGAGGGAAUUCAUGCUACAUUAUGCAUGACCAAACGGCCUAACAUAUGCAGCAAAAAAAUUUGGCAAGGCAUUGGAAUGCUGGUCACUGGUCCCGUAGCAGAACCUAAGCAGAAACACUAUCACGCAUUUGAUCUGUUUGUUAUUAAGUAAACCUCCUGCCUCCCUCCACUUCAUACCACACCUUUACAUUGUCCUGAAAAUUAGUCUACCUCCAAGUGCAGUGUAAGAGAAACAAACGCACCGGUUUCUGGAUCCGCACAAUGACCGUGAUUGCAAAAGAGACUCCAAUCAAUCAAGAAGUAAGACACGUGAUAAGAAAAAUGUAUUACCGGAAUGGAAAUGGAGGCGGCUAGGACCAUAGACCAUGUCCACCAGAUUGAACAAAUGAAUCCCCUUUUUUCAUAACUAGCAAUACCCAGGUACCCUUCAUUAAAAAAAAAAACUCAGGCCCUCCCACAAAGAAAGGGGAAGAACAAAGAUUUCCCCCAAUUCACAUUCUUUCUUUCCGUCACACUCACCUAUCGGUCCCACACUGCCGAUCCGGGUGAGCGGCCGCGCGCCGGGCUGCAUUCGCCCCAGGCCGCGGCGGGAGAACCGCCGCUUUCGCGCCAUUAUCCUGCAACGGCGGCGGCGGCGGGGAGGACCACUAAUUUAGUCCCUCAUUUUUCAUAUUUGAAUCACUAAUAGCAAAAUAGCUCUCCAAUAGACUGGUUAUUUAACUUGUCAAGCUAUCCG
RNAcentral lists this long non-coding RNA (1685 nucleotides) under Zea mays. Its description in RNAcentral is "long non-coding RNA (ZMAY_LNC002120)". Lineage: Eukaryota; Viridiplantae; Streptophyta; Magnoliopsida; Poales; Poaceae. The record is from RNAcentral.